GAAUGGGCCAUUAAGCUACGGCGUUUUAAUGGGUCCGACCCAAUUGCAGGACACAGCUGAAUUGAAAGCUCAAAGCUCCCGCCCCGGUGUCUUUUGAUCUUUCCCGUAUAGCAACGCGAGUAGACAGACACUUUUACAAAACUCGGGAGUUGCGUUUUAGGAGAAGAAACAGAGAAAGAGAAAAAGAUGGAGAGCGUUUUUGGAAUGGUGGUGAUGGAUUCACAGUAUUGGCUGCCGACACAUCGCCGGUUCAAAAACCCAACGAGAACAAGGUCAUGGUCCUCGAUUCCCGCAAGCUCUUGGCCGCCAGCGGCGAGAGCGGUGACAGGGGCAGUUCACGGAAUAUAUACAGAAGAAUGUAGCCUUGUAUCAAUUCCGUAAUGGAAUUCCGUCGACCACUGCCGCUGCUGCCAAUUUUACUGGGGGAGAAGUUGCCACUGCUUUGCGCGAGGUGUCAGGUCCAGGGGACUAUCAGAUUGUGGUGCUGAACCUCUGCUGAAGCUCUGGAAGCUGACAAGAAAAAUGACAUUUUUUCAAGAAAAAAAAUUCCAGGUCUCACGGUGUUGCUCAAACUGCAAAGUUGGUUUGGUUAAUCAAAAUACUGAUGCAGAUUACAUCCAGGACUAAGGAGAUGCGGCUGUAGGUGGAACAGUAGGUGGAAGAAGAAACGGAACAGGGCUUGGCAAAAAGGUUAUUAACAUUUUUUGUUGGAUUAGACGGUUAGUCAAUGUUAAUGCAAAUUGGUUGUUAACUGAAGAAUGUAUGUUUGAUUAGUAUGACAAAAAUUCCCCGGUUAUACACUUUCCACAAUACUGUUAAAACUUCAGUGACAUGGUUCACAAAGUUGUGAACUUCAAAACCGGCUUCAAAACUGUCUGUUUUCUUCCCCUUCAAAUUGCUUGAAACCCUCUUAAACUGUAAAUCCUUCCUUUCCGUAGCUUAAUAGACCCAACAAGAACUUUACACUCAUUUUAUUACUCCACACUCUUUCCAUUUCACUCACAAGCUGGAGAUCAUUGAGGCUGUGCAGCCUUUUGAUUCAGAACUUAAACCAAUUUCCACAAGUAAAUUUUUUUUUAAAUGAUGAAAUCACAAGCAGUUCCAGAUAGGUAGUUUGGCAUGUUGGUUGUAACUCUGCAUUUGCCAUUUUUUUUCCUGUUUAAUUAUAGUAACAUAUAACUUGGUUGAUUUUAGCUGACGUGGCUUUGUUUUUUUCUCGGUUGAAGGAGUGCAACCAGCAUCUUCUGAAUAACAUACAAAACAAGGGUAGGCUUGUUAUCAAUACCAAUUGUCAAGUAGUCCAAUAUUUUAAGCAGUCUAUGGUCAAGGGAUUGAUGUGUAUCAUAAACAUUAUUUUUCACGGAAACAGCAUCUCGAGGGGUACUUUCACAGUGUUGCCCGGAAACCAGGCUUUUUGGCUAAAAAUCAAACCUUUUUUGUGCCAUUUGGCAUUGACUUGUGAUGAAACGGGCCAAAAGCCUGUCCACAUUACAAUCCCAAACGGGACCUUAGUUCUUUACCUACGGCACCGAACGGCUUUUUGAGAAAUUUGACAAGUGAAAUUUUGAAUUGUUAACUUUAAAAUAGACCUGUAAUUGUAUCACUUAAUCUUUUGUGCUAUGUUUGUAGCUGACCGCUUCUUUAACUUGUGUUUGUUGUCUUCGUUGUAUUUUGUUUAGAGAUGAAUUCCUGUAAAUGAGGGGUUUUUUUAAUAAUAUUUGUAUAGGCAGUAUGAUUGUUUAUCUAUAUACAUAUUUCUUUAUUCAGAAAAAAAUAAUUUAUAAUUUAAUCCAAAGGCAAAUGUCUGAAUAUUAGCUGUUUAGUUAUUGAACAACCCUCAAGUUUAAUAAGAGUUGGUCAUCCAAAUAUACCAAUCUAUUUGUCACUUUUUUCAAAGACUUUACUAUAUAGCUUCAGUCGUCUUGUUUUCCUUUUCACUCAAAUCCUCAGGUCUCCAAAUCCAAUCAAACAAUUUGACUUCCACAAGCUCCAUCUCUCUUCAAUUUUCAAACAUUCUAGGCAAACAAAAGUUCUAACAAGAGGAAAUGGUUUCAAGAGCGCUUGAGAUGGAUCUAAUCUAUUAGAGAGAUAAACUACAUUUAGAGUUAAUGGGAGUAUACCAAAUAACUCAUACAUAUAUAUUGGACAUCAUUAGAGUCCAAAAGCUUAAACUAUUAAAAUUUUGGGUCCUUCAUGCAUAUAGAGGAUAUCUCAUUCAGAUUUUCUAAUGGUGUGGGAUUCUUUACUUACAUUUGAAUCAUAUUCCAACAAUCUUUCCCGUUCACUUGUGAAUUUUGAUCAAGUCUUAUUUCGGCUUUCUCGUGCGAGUAAGUUCUAUCAAUAUUUUUUUUAAAUUAGGCAACCUUACAUCUUUUAGUGUGCUUUUUGAGCCAGACCACAGUACUCAACCUUGCCACUUAGAUUAUUUUAGUG
Non-coding RNA from Durio zibethinus, 2433 nucleotides. The record is from RefSeq and is a predicted model, not a curated record. Lineage: Eukaryota; Viridiplantae; Streptophyta; Magnoliopsida; Malvales; Malvaceae.